UUAUAACCAAUUACUUGCGUAAGUCUCGCAAGUAAUAUUAUUUGCGUCGUUAAUACUCUUCACCAUCAAAGGACUAUAUAUAGAGUACAAAGUGGCGAUGAAGCAACAUAACCAUUCUUCUAUUUUUAUAUAUACAUAUUUUAUCGGAGCUGACUUUUCUUUUGGUUUAUAUGCAGAUACCCUAUUCUAACGAUUUCACCACGAUGCAGCGAAGAAUAUGACACAAAAGCUGAUGUUUUCUCCUUUGCUUUGAUCGUUCAAGAGAUGAUAGAAGGACGAAUGCCAUUUGCUGAAAAGGAAGACAGUGAAGCUUCAGAAGCUUAUGCCAGCAAAGAGCGGCCACUGCUCAAAGCUCCAUCAAAUUGCUUUACCCUCAUGGACUUAAAACGUUGAUAGAAGAAUGCUGGCAAAAUAAACCAGCCAAGCGACCUACUUUCAGAGAGAUCAUUAAACGGCUCGAGUCUAUUCUUCAUCAUAUGGGUCACAAACGACAAUGGGGGGGGGGUACUACUGAGUUUGUCCUUUUGUUAUUUAGGUUUCUAGAUUAUGUUUACCUCUUAACCUGUUUCUUUUUUCACAUGUUUAAUAUCAGAUGAGGCCGUUGACUUGCUUUCAGAAUUUCGAGCACAAGAAGAAACAUAACUGGGAUAUGAGCAGCCAUGACGGCUCAUCAUCCGGUUCACAUUUGUGAUUCUUUAACCGGUUCAGAAAUGAUUUUUUUUUCUAUUCCCUCCGGUUUAGUUUGGUCUUCCCCCUAAAGAACCGAAUCUUAUUUUGUCAUUUUGUUCUUCACUGAUGAAAGUCCGUGUGGUCAAAAUCUGGCAUUUUAUCUAUUUAUAAAAUUUGUUGUAAGAUAUAUGAUUUUAACCUGAAGAUAUAUUUGCUGUUGUAAUCUAAAAUUUCUGCAAAAUGUAUGAUUCCACCU
This is a long non-coding RNA of Raphanus sativus (radish), 925 nucleotides long. RefSeq lists it as uncharacterized. The record is from RefSeq and is a predicted model, not a curated record. Lineage: Eukaryota; Viridiplantae; Streptophyta; Magnoliopsida; Brassicales; Brassicaceae. The transcript is spliced from 3 exons.